Molecule: unclassified non-coding RNA, 239 nt
Filed under: plant metagenome
Description: partial contains small subunit ribosomal RNA, internal transcribed spacer 1, and 5.8S ribosomal RNA
Rfam family: Eukaryotic small subunit ribosomal RNA (bases 1-54)
Source: RNAcentral
GCAAGUAAAAGUCGUAACAAGGUCUCCGUAGGUGAACCUGCGGAGGGAUCAUUACAAGUGACCCUGGUCUUACCACCGGGAUGUUCAUAACCCUUUGUUGUCCGACUCUGUUGCCUCCGGGGCGACCCUGCCUUCGGGCGGGGGCUCCGGGUGGACACUUCAAACUCUUGCGUAACUUUGCAGUCUGAGUAAACUUAAUUAAUAAAUUAAAACUUUUAACAACGGAUCUCUUGGUUCUG